Molecule: long non-coding RNA, 310 nt
Filed under: Homo sapiens (human)
Lineage: Eukaryota; Metazoa; Chordata; Mammalia; Primates; Hominidae
Description: HSALNT0394991
Source: RNAcentral
GUAACAUCCUUUGUUUUAGAAGCUUUUCUAUGUUCCUCAUCGCUACGUAACUUCCUUUGUUUUAGAAGCUCUUCUAUGUUCCUCAUCACUAGAGAAAACCCGAAGUCAGAAGCACGCCGGCAUCCACUUGCGGCCGCCCUGCCUGAAUAUGACAUGGAUGGGUGUGACCAACGUAGAGUCUUCAGGAGGCUCGGUUUGGUAACUUAGGCAUAGUUAAUACAUCCACAUCAUUUUUCUAAAUUCUAUGUUCUUUCGUCUCUUUCUUCACAUUUAUUCAUCUAAAAAUGGAGGGAGAGGUUCAAAAUUUUUU